Neopelma chrysocephalum (saffron-crested tyrant-manakin) is the source of this 481-nucleotide non-coding RNA. The record is from the annotation of a RefSeq genome assembly. NCBI's taxonomy places the organism in Eukaryota, Metazoa, Chordata, Aves, Passeriformes, Pipridae.
GGGUUCACAGCACAGCUACAUCAUUGUGGGGAUGUGGAGCUGGUGGGAUCACACCAUGGCCUGGGUCCCUCUCCUCCUCACGGUGCUCGCCCACACCUCAGAUUCCCUGGUCCAGGCAGCACUGAUUCAGCCACCUUCGAUAUCAGCCAAGGUGGGCGACACCGUCAAGAUCACCUGCUCUGGCAGCAGCUACAACUGGUAUGGCUGGUACCAGCAGAAGGUCCCUGGCAGUGCCCCUGUCACUGUGAUCUAUGAAAACGACAAGAGACCCUCGAACAUCCCUUCACGAUUCUCCGGAUCCAAGUCUGGCAACAGGGGCACAUUGACCAUCACUGGGGUCCAAGCCGAGGACGAGGCUGUCUAUUUCUGUGGUAGCUACGACAGCAGCAGUAGUGCUGGUAUAUUCGGGGCUGGGACCAUGUUGACCGUCAAAGGUGAGUCGCCAAUUUCUUCUCGGUCUUUCCUUCACCGAGGCGAAAUU